ACUUGAUGGCUUAAUUCUGCUCCUUUAACAUAUGAACAUGAACAAUGUUGCCAUUAAAGCAGGCACGGAUAAGAUGCUGGGAUCGGGGAUGGAGGGGCUGCCAGACCAGCUGAGUUCCUGCUGCAGUUGCUCGUGCGUUCUGUGACCGGACCAAUCCCACAGUGAUCAAGAUCUUUAUUCUGCCUGUCUGUACUCUUUCCAGGAAGUGCUUUAAUGCAUAUGUAUACAUACACGCAGCCACUUUCAGAAGCAGGUCUUGCAGCAAAUGAAGACUAGUUAAGAGUUAAGGCCCUGUCCCACUUUCCCGAGUUAUUGACGAACUCUCCUGAGUUUUCCCCUUGAUUCGAACUCGGGGAAUGUUGGGUAAUGUUGCCAGCGAGUCCGUAGAUGUUUCGUAGCGGCUCGUAAUGCCAGCCGUAGGAACUCGGGGCAUCAGGCUCCAGUUUAUGAAAACACAAACCAGCUGGCUCCAGUUUAUGAAAACACAAACCAGCUGGCGUACAACAACGUGACAAAUGAGGCCGUGUACAUGAACAUGGAAGAGGGGAAAGCCCAGCGCUCACGGCAAAACCUGGAGCCCAGAUGGACACAGACUUUCUCCAUUCAUGCAGCCAGCCCCGUAUCUCCACAAGGAAAUCCAUGGCCCCCAAUCUCCUCCCCCAAAGGGGGGCAACAACUCCAUGAGAUGAUGUCCACUGGAGCCAUCUAUGAAAAUGUUUAAAUUCAUCUGUGGAGUCAUACAGCACAGAAACAGGCCUUUUGGCCCAUCUCAUCAAUGCUGACCCAGUUGGCAUGCUGGGUUAGUCACAUUUGACCCGUAUCCCUCUAAACUCUUCCUAAUUAUAAAACUGCACAAAUGUUCUUCAAGAGUCAUAAUUGUGUCCACUUCUACAACUUCCUCUGGUAUCUGGUUCCAGAUACGGACUACUCUCUUGAGUGUAGGGAUUGACCCUGAGGCCUCUCUUAAAUCUCUCCACUCCCACGUUAGGCCAAUGCCCUCUAGUUUUAGAAUCUUCUACCCUGGGAACAAGCCAGUGAGUAUUGAUUUCAUCCAUGCCUCUCAUGACCUCAAUAAGGCUCAGCCUCCUACACUCUAGAGAAAAAAGGUCCCAGCCUAUCUAACCUUUCCAUUUCAUUCAAGUCCAUCUGCUCAGGAAACAUCCUGGUGAAUCUCAUCUGCGCCGUGCAACUUACUGACAUCCUUCCUAAAGCUGUGUGUCCAGAGCUGCUGUACACUGUACAACAUGCGCAGUCUCAACAACGACUUGAACAUCUGCAGAAUGAUGUCCCAACUCCUGUCCCCAAUACACUUCCCAAAGAAGGCAAGACCCAGGCCAGAUCAUGUAGUUAAAUUAGAUAUCCUUCUUCACUGUCCACUACACCACCAAUUUUGAAGUCAUCUGCAAAGUUCCCAACAUUGUUAGCUACAUGGUCACGCAGAUAGUUAAUGUAGAUCACAAACAGCAGUGGGCCCAGCACCAACCCCUGCAACACUCCACUAGUCACAGGCCUCCAAUCAGACAAGCAACCCUCCACAAUUACGGGCGGCAUGGUGGCGCAGCGCUAGAGUUGCUGCCUUGCAGCGCUUGCAUCGCCAGAGACCCAGGUUCAAUCCUGACAGCAGAUGCUGUCUGUCUAGAGUUUAUACGUUCCUCUGUGAUCAUGUGGUUUUUCUCCAUGUGCUCCGGUUUCCUUCCACGCUCUAAAGACAUGCGGGUUUGUCAGUUAAUUGGCUUUGGUAAAAAUUGUAAAUUAUCCCCAGUG
Molecule: long non-coding RNA, 1764 nt
Organism: Leucoraja erinaceus (little skate)
Lineage: Eukaryota; Metazoa; Chordata; Chondrichthyes; Rajiformes; Rajidae
Exons: 4
Source: RefSeq, a predicted model, not a curated record